GCUCGAGCCUCUGGAACCCGGUGGGGGGCUGGGGGAGGACUUGUGUUUUUAGGCUUCAAGAGUGAGUAUCCGAGAGACAGAGGCCACAGCCGAUAUCUAUGACCUGUGACCUAGCCUUGGGGUCACCCUUGGAGGAGGGGAGCCAAGACAAACUCCUAGAGAGAGCUGCUGCGCCCACCCGCCCCCCCUCGCCCCCCUCGCCCCCGCCCAGCCCUCGGAAAGGGUCCUGCCAGCCUCCCAGCGACCCGUGUCACAGGCUCCGCCUGCAUGAGGUCCAGGGGCCGCAGCAAACUGGGCAUUUGGACAGCAGGAAAGUGUCCUCAGCUGCGCGGUGGGUGUGGGCAGGGCUGGUUCCUCGGGGAGAGGCGGGGUGCCCGUCUCCCAGGUCCAGAGGGCUGCUGGCGCCCCUCGGCCGGCCCUGAUCCAGGAUGGCCUCAUCUGGAGACCCUUCCCUUUGUGACACCGGCCUAGGCCAGGCGGGUACAUCUCUUGUGGGGCCACCAGUGAAGCCACUACAACCUCCCACACAGACUCUGAUGAAUGUAGGUAUUAGUUGGGAUAUUUGUCUAUUCCAGUAGGUGAUAGACACACACCAGCAAAGAAUCCGGAAGUCCAGCAAGUCCCUCAGCAAGGUUUAUUCACGUACGGUAAACGGCGCAUGUAAAAAUAUACGAUUGAAUGAGCUGAGAUGCGUAGACACCCUGGGACCCUUCGCCACAUUCAGGACAGUGAACAUCUCCAUCAGCCAAAGUCUCUGCAUUUUAUUUUUAUGGUGACGAUGUAGCCAGGACUGAGCGGGGGCCUCCUUCCCACUGUGUAACUGCUGCCUCGUCGGGCUGGGCCUGCCUGUCCGUCAGUCCGUCUCAGGCCCUUAUGACCCUCCUGCUAAAAAUGUGUGUGUGGGGCUUCCGUGGUGGCGCAGUGGUUAAGAAUCCACCUGCCAAUGCAGGGGGCACGGGUUCGAACCCUGGGCCAGGAAGAUCCCACAUGCUGCGGAGCAACUAAGCCCAUGUGCCACAGCUACUGAGCCCGUGUGCUACAACUACUGAAGCCCGCGCGCCUGGAGCCCGUGCUCUUCAACAGGAGAAGCCACCGCAAUGAGAAGCCCGCGCACCGCAACGGAGAGCAGGCCCCGCUCGCCGCAACUGGAGAAAAGCCCACACACAGCAACGAAGAUCCAACGCAGCCAAAAGUAAAUAAAUUUAUAAAAAGUAAAAUAAAAAGACCUGUGUGCCCGUCCCUGUGCACAGCUGCCCGGCUGCUGUAAGAUAACUUCCUGGCAGCGCUACCCGAGCCAAGGGCUGCUUCUCGUCAGAUCUGGCAACGUUCCCACCCGGGGAAGCAGCUGCACCUGCGAUGCCCCACACCCCAGGUGAGGCCCCUCCUGCCCCCGCGUCUGCAGGGCCCCAGGAGGAGCCGCCUCCUCCGGGUGUCCCUGGUCUCCGCUGCGCCUUCAUUUCCUGCCCCCCGAUAUCUGACACCAAAUGCGGGGGGGUCUCCUGAGCUCUGCUCCAGGCCAGCCGGUCCCUUUUCUCGGCAACAAGAGUGAUUUUUCAAGCUCGUGACCCCUGAACUUUGAGGUGGCGCCCACACCCUGGAGUCCAGAAGGGCCCCCUGCCUCUGCAUUGCAUCACCUGAACCCAAGGGUUCUGUGCCUGCUGGGACUCUUCAUAGGGAAGAAACCCCGAACUGGCUGGAGCAGGGCACUGGGUCGAAGGGCAUCCCCCCGACAUUCACACCCACCCAGAGCCUCAGAAUAGGACCUUGUUUGGAGGGAGGGUCUUUAGAGAGGUCAUCCUGCCCCUCGCGCAGUGACAGGGGCAGAGGUGCGGGCCACAGCCACGAGCCAAGGAGCGUGGGCGCCCCAGAAGCUGAAAGGGGCAGGAAGGACCCCCCCUCCGCUGGAGCCGCCGUUGGGAGAUGGCCCUGCGACACCAGCCUCCAGAGCUGACGGGGUGUGAGUUGAUGGUGUUUGCAGCCCCCUAGGCUGUGGUCCUGUUAGGGCAGCCCCGGGAGACCGUGGAAGCAGAGUUCAGAAAAUUACCCCACUCGCAGAAACGAGGCGAAUGGGUGACGUGUGUCCCUUCACGGGGUCACUGUCUAACCAGCCUGCCGGGUGUCGCUCGGCCCGGGAGGGUUGCUUUCUCUGACUUGCCGUUUAUUAUCGACCAGGCCCAGGUGCCACGAAGCUGGAGCUUACCUUGCGGAAAAUAGGAAAAGUGCAGGUGAUUUUCCCCCGUAAACAUGCAGGUGACGUCUGUCUGGCGGAGAAGAUAAGCGAGGUUGUGGCUUUAUUGUCCUGUUAAGACAUUAACCUGACAUCAGUGUUAGACGUUAACUCCUGAGCCCAGCUCAGCAGCCUCGUUCCGGAGCUCCUUCUCUGACUGCACGUGGAUCCGUCAGGGUUUGACAUUCUUCUUUGAACCAGCCUUGCCAUCUAGACUCGUUCACCUUGUUAACGGGUGAGAUAAAAUUCUGACACGUGCUCAGUAUAUAUUUGGCUGAAAGCCUUUUGAAAAUGACACUUAGACAGCAGAAUGUGUUAAAGUGGGAAGAUCAGCUCUUCGUUUCAGGCAAGGGUAGAUCCAGGGACCAGAUGAUGUUAUUAGGAUUUGGAUGAAUUCUCCUUGCUCUUGGGUCUGCUGGCUGCACUCUGGGGCGAGUCACGGUGGCCAGACGACAGCCGGCCGCCCAGGCUCGCGUCCUCCUAGCCGCAGUCCAGUGCGCAGUUCCACUGGCUCUGUCCUGGUGCUCAGGCAGAAGCCUGGGGAUUGUUCUGGUCAGACCUGAUUGGCCAGGCCCCCCGCUGGCCAGGGGUCACCAGGCUCCUACUGGGGCUUAGGUCACA
Molecule: long non-coding RNA, 2848 nt
Organism: Lagenorhynchus albirostris (white-beaked dolphin)
Lineage: Eukaryota; Metazoa; Chordata; Mammalia; Artiodactyla; Delphinidae
Exons: 3
Source: RefSeq, a predicted model, not a curated record